Molecule: long non-coding RNA, 666 nt
Organism: Oncorhynchus nerka (sockeye salmon)
Lineage: Eukaryota; Metazoa; Chordata; Actinopteri; Salmoniformes; Salmonidae
Exons: 9
Source: RefSeq, a predicted model, not a curated record
UGAUAGUAUAAAUACCAACGUCACCCCUUCAUAAAAUCCUCUUCCGCGCUUAACUCAACAAUGUAUGGUGUACAGGUCAUACUGUGCGGGCCACAAAAUGAUUAUGAAGUACAAACCAACGUUACUUGAUCCUGAUGAAUGACUCAGCGAAAAUGGUUUACGAUCAGAUUAUGAAGUACAAACCAACGUUACUUGAUCCUGAUGAAUGACUCAGCGAAAAUGGUUUACGAUCAGAUUAUGAGGAUCAAUCUGCUCGAUCCUGGAUGACAAUGGUGUACAAUCAGGUUAAAACCACCUUUAAGCUGACCUUGUUAAGGAAACCAGGCCAUCCAGGAGCGUGGUUGUGCCUCAAGUUGUUGUCGGAUGGUUGGAACCUCUAGUCGGACUCAUCAAUACAGUUGCCUACAUGGAAAAUUGGCUGAUCUUGCUGUUUUAGGGUUACAUCGCAAAAUGAGCCACAGGCCAAGGUUCCUGGAGGCUGUCAGACCAGUUGCGUUUGUAAUUAAUGUCCUUGAUGCCUCAACUGAGCAGGGUUUGGUCAUGAAAGUGCAAGGACAAUUACCACUGACCUGCAAUGUUCACUAUUUUAUUGUGCUGUCCAAAUUUACUUAAUUAAACUGCAAAUGUAGUGUGAACUAUAGCUUGGUCAAUAAAGAAUUACUCAAA